Long non-coding RNA from Bombus impatiens (common eastern bumble bee), 2647 nucleotides. RefSeq lists it as uncharacterized. The record is from RefSeq and is a predicted model, not a curated record. The transcript has 4 exons. NCBI's taxonomy places the organism in Eukaryota, Metazoa, Arthropoda, Insecta, Hymenoptera, Apidae.
GUUUAUAAUUAAGGAAGAAUAUAAAUUUUUAUUAGAGAGCAACGAUAACAUUGCAUCUGUGUUAGAGAAAGUGCUCGCGAAUCUACAGCAUGUCCCGCUCCGUGAUUUGUGCAUAUGUCAGAGAAAUUACAUAGCAACGAUGUUGAAAGAUAUUUCACAUUAAUAUUAUUCCAGUAGCACACAUUUAACAUUUCUUGAUUAUUUAAGUUUUCAUAAGCUAUUAUUAGCCUUUUUUUAUAAUAUAUCAAAUAAUAUGUUAAAUUGAACUAAGAUUAUUUAAAAUAAAAGGUUUAUAGACUUAUGUAUGCAAGGUUUCGAAUUUUCAAAUUUAAAAAUUGCUUAACUUUCAAAUGUUCAAAGUUCUAAGCCUUAUUACUUCUAAAUUUACAUUGUUUAAGAUUACAGAAAGAAAACACGCCUCUCCAACGAAAGUUUCUCAAGUAUACCACGUAGCUUCUUAACUUUUUCUGGCAAUAAUCGCGCAAACCUUACAUGGCCCUGGAACAGACUCAUUUCCUUAUAGCUGAAACAAUAUAUUCUGUUACAUCGACAUCUUACAGAAUGUUACAAAACGCCGAAGCAUUCAAGCAUAAAAGAAAUGCUGCAUUCUCCAUAAUUAAUAGCGACAGCGAGGCGCACGAAAACAUUCUUAAAUUAUCGCUAGAACGGAUAGGAAACUAUAGUAGCUGUCUUUUUGCGAGCAACGAGAUUUCACCACAGGCGCGUUACCGAUAAACCAAUGCAACUUCUGGCUACGAGCACUAGGAGAGAAGCGUAAAUGGGACAAGCUCAACGGUCACACAACCGUGACUUUCUAGCUAUGUUGCGUCGUUGAGGCUUUUUGUCGUGUAUCCAGUCGCUGUUUGUGCUUCCGCCUACACCGUUGCUUGAAAUGUGUUUUCUAGGGGAAAUUGAAAAACUUGUAUAUAUAAUUUUGGAGCGGUUGUUGUCAUUCAAAUUAGUUGAUACUUCUAAGAAUUCUAUAUUCAUAAAUUUGGUUUGAACAUAGAAAAUUUUUAUUAUUACAAAUGCUAUAUUUAUAUUUGUAGGUUUGUAUGGAAUUAAAUUUUAGAUAUAUAAUGUGACGACUAUGUAAAUGUUCUAAAUUGUAUCUGAAUUAUUAUAUGGAUAUUUUAAAUUGUGUAAAUUUAUGCAAAAGUGUUAACUAAUUUAAAUUUUUAAAUUAGUAGAUCCCAAAAUAAAAUAUUAUUCUUGCAGUUAACGGAAGAAUCGAUUCAAGAUGGUUCACGCUGACUGUCUCGUUCCACUAACUCACAAUCAAUUUGAUUGGAUUUCUUCAAUUGAAGUCACUUAACGCUUAAGAGAUCAUGUAAUUGACUGGAAUACAUCGUUUAAGCUUAGUUUACAUCCAAACGGUAGAUCAAGUUAAAUCGAACCACGGAAAGAAAUCAGGGAAAAGUGGACGAGAGGAAGACUCAUCGAGGUCGCUGAUCGAGGUCAAGUUUUAGACUACUGUAAUGUCUAAUCGUGAUGCAUGUGGAUGCUGGUGUCGUUGCCUUGCAAAUAUCAUAUCCUGGAGAAGGGGAAAUUCCAUGGAGAAGUUAGAAUAUCGGAAUCUCGGGCUCUUCUUUGACUCUUUGAAUUUUUCAAUCUUUCAAAUUUCCAAAUUUUCGAAUUUUCAAAAUUUCAAAUUUCUGAAUUCUUAAACUUUCAAAUUUUCAAUUUCUCAAUUUUUAACUUUUCGAAUUUUUUAAUUUCUAAAAUUAAAAAUCAUUAGCUCAUCAAAUAAAAUAUGCAUUACCCUAUUCGUUAACAUUAAGUUCCCAUAGUCUCCAAAACUUCUAAAACAUUCAUCUUCAACAAAAAUUUCUAAAACUCAGUAUUUUUAAUGUGACCUAACAUUAAUGUGUGAUCGGUGUGUAUGAUAAUAACGAUUAUGCAAACUUUACAUGUUCCUGCAUUGCGAAGUCAUAUUUUAUACUACUGUAAAGUCUAGUACCGUUGUCUUCUUAUAGCAGUCAGUUUCUGGGGAAGUGGGAAUUCCAGAGAGAAGUCGAGAGAUUGGAAUCUCGGGCUCUCUUCUGACGUCUGUUUAGCAGUACCACUCACUCUCUCUUCUUUUUUCUUUUCCUUCUCUUGGCUAUGCUGGUAUACAUAUAUUUAAUGUCUUAUCUGAGCUUAAAGGCAAGUUGUUCGAUUCAGUAACCUGUCUGCAACAACAUUCUAGAUUACCACUGGGAACUCCCCUGAUCUAAUUUCGUUUAGGCUUAUGAACAACUUAUUGAGACUUACGGAAAUGUAGAAAGGUAUUUUAAUGGGAUAUGGGCAUCUUGAAUGAUGGAUUGAGUUUUUAUAUUGCCUGAACGGAAUUGAAAUUAUGUGAAGGAGAGUUAUUAAUCCAUAUAUUAAUUAAACAAUUUAAAAAAAUGAAUAAAAUUGUUACAAAGAGAAUAAUGUCUUUUUGACAAAAUUGGUAAAUUUUGAUUUAUAUAUCGAAGAGAUUUGAAUUUUAUUUGAUUUGGCUUAAUGAAUUUUGUGGAUUAAAAGAAUUCUUCUUUAUUUGUAUAAUGUCGAAUUUUAUUAUUUGUUAAUAUAAUCAAUUACUUACAUUCUCUAUCGUUGAAAAGAGAAUUACUAUAAUUCAAUCGCAAUCAGUAAACUAAUACGUAAAUUUUCAUUGUUUGAU